This 438-nucleotide ribosomal RNA is filed under the name uncultured Anaerolineaceae bacterium. Its description in RNAcentral is "bacterial SSU rRNA". It matches the Rfam family "Bacterial small subunit ribosomal RNA", at positions 925 to 1382 of the family's 1533-position model. The record is from RNAcentral. Lineage: Bacteria; Bacillati; Chloroflexota; Anaerolineae; Anaerolineales; Anaerolineaceae.
ACAAGCAGCGGAGCGUGUGGUUUAAUUCGUUGCUACACGAAGAACCUUACCUGGGUUUGACAUAUAGGUUGUAGGGAACUGAAAGGGCGACCUCGGGAGCCUAUACAGGUGUUGCAUGGCUGUCGUCAGCUCGUGUCGUGAGAUGUUCGGUUAAGUCCGCUAACGAGCGCAACCCUCGUCGUAUGUUAUAUGUGUCAUACGAGACUGCCGGUAAAAAGCCGGAGGAAGGUGAGGAUGAUGUCAAGUCAGCAUGACCUUUAUAUCCAGGGCUACACACACGCUACAAUGGUCUGUACAAUGGGUAGCCAAGCCGCGAGGCGGAGCCAAUCCUGAAAGCAGGCCUCAGUUCAGAUUGCAGUCUGCAACUCGACUGCAUGAAGCCGGAGUUGCUAGUAACCGCAGGUCAGCAAUACUGCGGUGAAUACGUUCCCGGGUCUU